GACGAACGCUGGCGGCGUGCCUAAUACAUGCAAGUAGAACGCUGAAGGAGGAGCUUGCUCUUCUGGAUGAGUUGCGAACGGGUGAGUAACGCGUAGGUAACCUGCCUGGUAGCGGGGGAUAACUAUUGGAAACGAUAGCUAAUACCGCAUAAGAGUAGAUGUUGCAUGACAUUUACUUAAAAGGUGCAAUUGCAUCACUACCAGAUGGACCUGCGUUGUAUUAGCUAGUUGGUGGGGUAACGGCUUACCAAGGCGACGAUACAUAGCCGACCUGAGAGGGUGAUCGGCCACACUGGGACUGAGACACGGCCCAGACUCCUACGGGAGGCAGCAGUAGGGAAUCUUCGGCAAUGGACGGAAGUCUGACCGAGCAACGCCGCGUGAGUGAAGAAGGUUUUCGGAUCGUAAAGCUCUGUUGUAAGAGAAGAACGAGUGUGAGAGUGGAAAGUUCACACUGUGACGGUAUCUUGCCAGAAAGGGACGGCUAACUACGUG
Molecule: ribosomal RNA, 495 nt
Filed under: uncultured bacterium
Lineage: Bacteria
Description: partial 16S ribosomal RNA
Rfam family: Bacterial small subunit ribosomal RNA
Source: RNAcentral